RNAcentral lists this ribosomal RNA (468 nucleotides) under uncultured Oomycota. Its description in RNAcentral is "LSU rRNA". It matches the Rfam family "Eukaryotic large subunit ribosomal RNA", at positions 326 to 630 of the family's 3401-position model. The record is from RNAcentral. Lineage: Eukaryota; Oomycota. RNAcentral also lists the same sequence under 1 other name.
GUGCGAGACCGAUAGCGAACAAGUACCGUGAGGGAAAGAUGAAAAGAACUUUGAAAAGAGAGUUAAAGAGUACCUGAAACUGCUGAAAGGGAAGCGAAUCGUAUCCAGUGUCUAUAAUCUGCGGCAUAUUUCAUUGGCGGCAGUGUGCGUGCUUUUGCGUCGGAAGCGGCUUUUGUUGCUCUGUGCUUUUGCUGUGCGUGCUGUUGCUGGUGCCCUGUGUUGCGGUGGGACGUCAGAGUCAGUUCGUAUGCUGCGGGAAAUGGCCGCCGAGGAGGUAGGUCAGGACUUCGGUCUUGGCUGUUAUAUCUUGGUGGUUUGUUGUCGUGGUUGGGACUGAGGUGCCUACAAUGUGCUUUUGAGUGUGCCGGGUUCUCAUUUGGUGGACUGUUUGGAUAGCUUGCUAUGCUUGUGGUUUUUUCAUCGAGUGAUUGAGUCUGGUGGUAACUUGUUGCUGUUCGGGACUUUGAA